Molecule: long non-coding RNA, 2123 nt
Organism: Mesocricetus auratus (golden hamster)
Lineage: Eukaryota; Metazoa; Chordata; Mammalia; Rodentia; Cricetidae
Exons: 2
Source: RefSeq, a predicted model, not a curated record
UUUAUUUUUAGAUGCAAGUUGUAUCAAGGAAUAGAGUCUGUGUUCUAUGUUAGAACAGCGAAUUCCCCAGAAAAUUAACAACAGGGCAUUUUAGCCUGCCCACUGAAAUCCUGGAAAAACAACCCAAGCUCUCGUUUCUGCAAAGCCAGAAACACAACUUUUGAAGGGAAGUGUUUGCAUCUUGCUUUUUUCACAGCAAAUGCUAAGGAGCACAUGAAAAUGACAAGAGCCGCUUGCUUCUUUGAAACUGCUUUCUCUUUGGUGUCUGAAGUCCAGGAAGUACACUAUCUGUCUCUCUUCCUCUACAAGGAGUUCUCAAAGCUCCAUUUCCAAGCACGAUGGGUUUCAAGAAUUUUAGCCUGCACUUUUAUGUGGCAGCUUCAAGAAAUUGUUAUCUGUGCUUUAAAUGGAUUAACCAAGCAUUCAUCUUAAAUCUAUAGUGUUCACUCAUUUUUGACUUUUGAGUGUUUAUGCAUUUUGGAGUGUUUGAGGAAAUAAGAAAAAUAGGACCUUUGUGGUUCCUGAGUUCUGAAGGAAUAUUCAAAUAAUGCACAUGGUAACUUUAGUCUGGGAAGCCAGAUGUAACCUUCCUUUCCAUCCCAGAGCAGUGAGGGUCAGAGGCUUCACUGAGGGGAGGACACAUUUGAUCUAAGAUCAAGGCUAAUAGGUGAGACAGAGCAGAGUACCCCAGAAGAAAGGAAGGAAGGAAGGAAGGAAGGGAGGAAGGAAGGAAGGAAGGAAGGAAGGAAGGAAGGAAGACGAUGUCCAUGCCAAUGUCUCCAUAAGCCUCCAUCAGUCCUUUGUCUGGCAUGAAUGGUGGGGGAGUGAUGACAGGGGAGAGGAGACUGGAAUGCUCACUGCGAAUUUCACCUUCCCUCCAUAGGACCAGAAACACAAGGACAAUGAAGAGCCCCUCAUCCUGCAGGAGAGUAGCCAUGUCUGUCUUCCUCAAAUCUUUUUUCAUUCUUUUUUUCAUGCUGUGUUUUGUUCUCUGCUAAAGAUGCUAUGUAAUCUCAACAUCACAGAUUUCAGGAGCAUUGUUUAUAUAGACUCCCUGCAACUCUACAAUCUAUUGUUUUGUCUGUCUCCCAUUCUCUUUUCUUUACUUUCCAACCCACAACAAAGCACUCAAUACUACUCAAGUUAUGCCUGGGGUAAUGUAAUGUUUUUCUUCUUUCAUCAUGUCUGCCUUCAGUCUAAAAGCUAAAGAGCAGAGCUGUCUUCUAAAUGCAUGAUUUUCACUAUUUUGUCCAUUUACGUGUUUCCCCAUACUAAAAUUUAGAGGGGUAUCUUCUAAAACAAGAAAUGACUACACAGUACUUAUCAUAGCGGCUAAGCAUAGAAGCAAUGGAACCAAGGAGACCCAAGCUAAAUUUUCUUUCUUCUCUGUCAGUAAAUGGCUACAGAAAAUUGGGGGCAAUUACUAAAAUACCCAAUAUCUCAUCUUAAGGAAUUUUAAAUUUUAAAGAAUAUUGAUCAGUUGUGGCACAGGAUAACAGCACAAAGAGAUGUAAGCUGAUAAAUAGUAUGAACAUCUACUUAGAAAAAGGAAAACAGCAAAAAAAAUGAGGUGCUAAUAGUCACCAGCCCUGCUCAUUACCUCCAAAAGGAUAAACAGCAACAAGAAAGAAGAAAAAUGUAAAAUACUGCUUUCAGAAACAAAGUGGAGAACGUAGGGAUUUAAAGCUGUACAACUGGUGACCUGACAGCAUGGGGAGGCAUUCCUGCUCCCAUGCCAGCGCACAGCCACUGCUGGGUGAUUCCCAGAGCAGACAGUGUUCAUGAAACAAUCACACUAUGGAUCUGGGCAUGCUCAGAACAUGUACUCCACUACAAGGAAGACAAGAGAUAUCACUGAAGAAAAGCUUGACAUGUUUGCAGGGGAAAAGAAAAUCGAUGAACUUGUCAAGCAAAGCAAUAUUAUGCUGUGACUUUGAACUUGGGUGAGACAAAUUAAACAUCGUGUGGAUUUUCUUAUAGGAGCUGCUAAAGAUCAGAACCCCACAGGGCCAUUGAGUGGAUGAAGGGGACAUAUGGUUGGAGGUCGACAGCAGGGCAAUGGAUGGUUCUUACUGCUUGAUUAUUUAUCUUGUUUAAAAGAAAAUAAAUACAGUUCAUAUGCA